This is a long non-coding RNA of Macaca fascicularis (crab-eating macaque), 1727 nucleotides long. The record is from Ensembl. Lineage: Eukaryota; Metazoa; Chordata; Mammalia; Primates; Cercopithecidae.
GGCCCGAUCUCUCCCAUGUCCACUGUUCAAGGAGCAGGACCCUGGCAGAGCUGAGGCCUUGGCCAUGUGGUCUCGUGGGAGAUAGAGCCACAUUCUCCUCGUGUAAGCCUCCGUGCAUCAGAGAAAGUGCCAAAGAGGAAAGAGAGAAUGGUUAGCAACUCAGGACAGGACCCAGAGGCUGCAGGACUGGGAGACAUCAGCCCAGCGACCCACUGUUCAAAGAGUGGGGCCCAGGGGCCCUUUACAUCUCCCCAGUGCCCAGCUGCCACACACGGUCUGCAGAGAAUAGGCCAGAGCCUCGGGGGAAAGGAUGAGGUUCUUGGAGGAGAAAGGGCAGUGUGGGCCAUGGCUGAUGUAUCCGUCUGCUCUAAUCUCCAUCACAAAAUGCCACACACUGGAGCUGCAGCAUUUUCUCACAGCUCUGGAGGCUGGAAGCCAAAGAUCAAGGUGCUGGCAGGGUUGGUUUCUGGGGAGGCCUCUCCCUUCUUGUCCUCACACGGCCUUUCCUCCCUGUGUGCAAGGAGAGUGAUCCCUGGAGUCUUUUCCUUGUAGAAGGAUGCCCGUCCUAUUGGAUUAGGCCCCUAUUCUUAUGACCCCCUGAAAGUCUCUGUCUCCAGACAGUCACAUUGGGGGCAAGGGCUUUAUCAUAUGAAUUUGGAGACCCAAGUCAGUCCACUGCCACCCCGAAGCUGUCCCAGCCAGGACAGACUGGUUGUGCCUCCCAGAAAGUCUCCAACAGUCACCUGGCUCCCAUCCUCAGACACUGGCCUGGCCUUCUCGUCCCCCCAUAUGGGCUGCUUGGACCACUAGCCAGUCCAGCCACCCCCACUGCUGGCCCCUGAGCUGCCAUCACCACUGGAUUCUGUGACAUGCUCAUACAGGAACUUGGGUCCAGGGCUGCUGCCUCCAGUACCCAGGGCUGCCCAGUGCCCCUUCAUUUUUGCAAACAGCUGAACUCCUCCUCCUGCUGGGGCCAGGCACAGUCUGGAUGGGGGAGGAAAUGGGUGCACAGGUGGGCAGGAUGGGCAGAGAAGUCUCCCUGGGGCAGGGACUCCGGCUCUGGGCAGCUGUGAGUGUGAAGAGUGUAUCCACACCAAGGCUCAGGGCGGGAGUCCGCGGAAGCAUCGUGGAGGACCCAGGAAGGCAGGGGAAGCCUGCGAGGGUCUGCCCCCAGGCUCAGGCAGGCAGGAGGAGAGGCCAGAACGGGUAUAUGGCUGCCAGGAGUGGAGAGAUGGCAGAGAUGCUGGAAAAGCCCUAAUCCAUGGGGCAGGAGGUGGAGUUCUGCUGAUCCAUUCAUGCAGUUCUGAAGUCUUGGGGAUCUUGGUGCUGCCAUCUGUCAAGUGGGGCCAUUAGACCCAGCAUUCCUGGAAUGGCAUCCUGGAACUUCCCAUAUCAGAGUUAGUGGGUGCACAUUCAGAGCAGCCAGAUCCUGGGCUGCACCUCAGACCUACUGAAUCAGCCUCCAGAGGCGGGACCCAGAUAGCUGUGUGUUUACCUGAGACCCCAGCUGAUCACUGAUGUUUGAGGACGCUGGGCUCCAGAUGGUGUGUAAAGUCUCUUCCAGCUCUGAGGUCUGGACUGUGAUUUCAGACUUGGGACUCUCAGGCCGACAUUUCCUGGAGGCUGGUAAAGAUCAUCAAAUGACUGAUCUCCCAGGUUCCGAAGAGUGAACAGGAACAUCCCUCCACAAAGCCAUAAAUUCUGUAAAAAAAAAAAAAAAAAAAAAA